GCAGAACAGGGGUUUCCUAACAACUCUCAACACCCUUAACUGUUCCCAGGAUUCACUGGGGGAACCCAUGGCUGUUUAAAGUGGCAUGAUACUGCUUUCAGCGCAUAGUGCAGAUGGGGCCUAAGAAUAGUGUGAAAAGCUUACAUUGAGGUUUAUGAAGCGACUGAGUCCUUGAAAGCUCCACAAACAGUAUGUGCACAGGGGUUGGUUUCUGCUGCCUCUUAUCUUUUUCCUUUUCUUUGAUAGGGUAUGUGGGAUAUGUUAGGUAGAAACUAUGUGCUUUAUAGAACUGAGUAUCAUGCUGCAGGUCUGAAUCGAUUCGGAAAACGUCAACAAUACCCUAAAUUAGAACCUGCUUUUUUUUAGAUGUCAGUCCUCAGAGGGGCUGGCCCUACCUUUUUGAAGAGUGAGGUGGCCACCUCAGGCGCUGGCUCCGGGUGUCAUGAAAGGGCACCAAAUUGUUUGUUACUGCGGUUUAAUAAUUAGUAGCAUUAGCAAUAUUAGCAUUGUGGUUUUUUACUGCUGUGGUGGGGGAGAGGUGCUUGAGGGAUUCCCUGCCUCAGGUGCCAAAAUAACUUGGCUGGCUGUAUUUUUUUUUUUUUACAGAACUCUUGGGCCUAGACAGUACUGGGCAAGCUGCUGUCGAUCUCAUUUCCCCGUAGUCAGGAUAGAAGAUGAUGAAUGUGAUAAGAAUUUCUAAGUAAUGCAGAAGGAUAAAGUUUCCAAGCAGUAUUAAUGUUUUCAAGUGCAAGCAUUUCACAAUCACAUUUUGUAAAAUACUUUGGCCACCUCAUGAGAAGAGAAGACUCCCUGGAAAAGGCCCUGAUGUUGGGAAAGAUGGUAGGCACAAGGAGAAGGGGACGACAGAGGACGAGAUGGCUGGACAGUGCUCUUGAAACGACCAACAUGAGUUUGACCAAGCUGCGGGAGGCAGUGGAAGACAGGAGUGCCUGGCGUGCUCUGGUCCAUGGGGUCACGAAGAGUCGGACGCGACUAAACGACUAAACAACAAAAACGGUUUGUGGAAUAAUCAGCAUUGUUCUGAC
This is a non-coding RNA of Podarcis lilfordi (Lilford's wall lizard), 1046 nucleotides long. NCBI's taxonomy places the organism in Eukaryota, Metazoa, Chordata, Lepidosauria, Squamata, Lacertidae. The record is from the annotation of a GenBank genome assembly.